CACCGCCUGGGGAGUACGACCGCAAGGUUAAAACUCAAAUGAAUUGACGGGGACCCGCACAAGUAGUGGAGCAUGUGGUUUAAUUCGAAGAUACGCGCAGAACCUUACCAACACUUGACAUGUUCGUCGCGACUUUAAGAGAUUAAAGUUUUCGGUUCGGCCGGACGAAACACAGGUGCUGCAUGGCUGUCGUCAGCUCGUGUCGUGAGAUGUUGGGUUAAGUCCCGCAACGAGCGCAACCCUCACUUUUAGUUGCCAUCAUUUAGUUGGGCACUCUGAAAGAACUGCCAGUGAUAAGCUGGAGGAAGGUGGGGAUGACGUCAAGUCCUCAUGGCCCUUACGUGUUGGGCUACACACGUGCUACAAUGGUAUCUACAACAGGAAGCAAGACCGCGAGGUUAAGCAAAUCCUUAAAAGAUACCUCAGUUCGGAUUGCACUCUGCAACUCGAGUGCAUGAAGCUGGAAUUACUAGCAAUCGUGGAUCAGCGUGCCACGGUGAAUGCGUUCCCGGGUCUUGUACACACCGCCCGUCACACCAUGGGAGUUGGUUCUACCUUAAGGCAAGGUUUUAAACCCUUGACCACGGUAUAGUCAGCGACUGGGGUGAAGUCGUAACAAGGUAGCCGUAGGGGAACCUGCGGCUGGAUUACCUCCUUUCUAAGGAUGAAUAAAAGUAAAAUUUUAUUCUAAAUAAUAUACAGGUAAUGUUGACCGUCCUCAUUUCUCUUCUUAAAGUAGUGUUUCUCUUGCAUGGGGGCCGGUAGCUCAGUUGGUUAGAGCACACCCUUGAUAAGGGUGGGGUCGAAAGUUCGAGUCUUUCUCGGCCCACCAAUCAAAGAUCUGGGGGAUUAGCUCAGCUGGGAGAGCGCCUGAUUUGCAUUCAGGAGGUCAGCGGUUCGAUCCCGCUAUCCUCCACCAAAACACUUAGUUAUAAAAAUUGUAAAUAAAUUAAAUAAUUAAUAUCAAUAUCUAUAUCCGAACAUUAGUAAUGUUAUUAGCUAAUGUUCAAAAUAAAAAUUUGAUUCAACACAGAAUUUUUUUCUG
This 1045-nucleotide small RNA is filed under the name uncultured Pelagibacterales bacterium. RNAcentral's name for it is "bacterial SSU rRNA". The stretch from base 1 to 658 matches the Rfam family "Bacterial small subunit ribosomal RNA", at positions 867 to 1533 of the family's 1533-position model. Lineage: Bacteria; Pseudomonadati; Pseudomonadota; Alphaproteobacteria; Candidatus Pelagibacterales. The record is from RNAcentral.